CCAGCAGAUUGGCUGCUUUACAAUUGGUCUAAACAAGGAGUAGGCGGGACAAGGGGGCUCGUGCUUCCUCGUUUCCGAUCCAAGAUGGCUGCGUCCAUGGCGCGGCGCUUGUGGCCUUUGCUGGCUAGUCGGGGACUUAGGCUCCGGGGAGACUGCGUCUACGGGCAGAGCCCAGGGAUAAGUUCUGCUACAAAGAAACGAGACCGGAACCUCCUGUACGAGCACGCACGCGAAGGCUACAGUGCACUACCUCACCUGGACAUGGAGCUGCUGUGCGCAUGCCCAGAAGAGGUCGCGCGCGCUCUGGAGCUCCGCAAGGGGGAGCUGCGACCCGCGGAUCUGCCGGAGAUUAUCUCCACAUGGCAGGAGCUGAGGCAGCUGCAGGAGCAGAUCCGGAGCCUGGAGGCCGAGAAGGGCACUGUGGCGGAAGCUGUGCGGUCCCUGCUGGUGAACCAGGACCACAGUCAAGUUCAGCAGGACCCUCAGUAUAAGGCCCUGCGGGCGCGUGGCCGGGAGAUCCGGAAGCAGCUUGCGCUGCUGUACCCCAGGGAGGACCAGCUGGAGGAGCAGUUCUACCUGCGGGCGCUGAGGCUGCCUAACCAGACCCACCCGGACGUGCCCGCCGGGGAUGAGAGCCAGGCCCGCGUGCUGAAGGUGGUCGGAGAGAAGCCAGCUUUCUCCUUCGAACCUCUGGGCCACCUGAAAAUCGGCGAGAAACUUGACAUCAUCCGGCAGAAGCGCCUGUCACACGUGUCGGGCCACCGCUCCUAUUACCUGCGUGGCGCAGGGGCCCUCCUGCAGCAUGGCCUGGUCAGCUUCACCCUCAGCAAGCUCGUCGGCCGGGGCUUCACCCCCAUGACGGUGCCAGACCUGCUCCGUGGAGCUGUGUUUGAAGGCUGUGGGAUGACACCAAAUGCCAGCCGGUCCCAUGUGUACAGCAUCGACUCCUCCCGCUUUGAAGACCUCCACCUGGCUGGGACAGCAGAGGUGGGGCUAGCAGGCUAUUUCAUGGACCACAGUGUGGCCCUCAGGGACCUGCCAGUCAGGAUGGUCUGCUCCAGCACCUGCUACCGGGCGGAAACCGACACCGGGAGGGAGCCGUGGGGGCUCUAUCGGGUGCACCACUUCACCAAGGUGGAGAUGUUCGGGGUGACAGGCCCUGGGCUUGAGCAGAGCUCCCAGCUGCUGGAGGAGUUCCUGUCCCUGCAGGUGGAGAUCUUGACAGAGCUGGGUCUGCACUUCCGGGUCCUGGACAUGCCCACCCAGGAGCUGGGCCUUCCCGCCUACCGCAAGUUCGACAUUGAGGCCUGGAUGCCCGGCCGUGGCUGCUUUGGAGAGGUCACCAGCGCCUCCAACUGCACAGACUUCCAGAGCCGCCGCCUGCACAUCAUGUUCCACACUGAGGAUGGGCAGCUGCGCUUCGCCCACACGGUAAACGCCACAGCCUGUGCUGUGCCCCGUGUCCUCAUCGCCCUGCUGGAGAGCAAUCAGCAAAAGCUCCACGCCUGGGCACCAGGACCCCGCAGCCCACCCUCCUGCUUCCCUGUCCCUCAGUCAGCAGCCCUGCGGUCCUGGGAGCCACCCAGAGGGCUUGCGAGGAUGCCGACUCCCCACGCGUCUCCCAGCACAAGCCAGGCAGUCACCGCAGCAGUUCUGGCCCCAGACCUGUCCAGAUCUGUCCUCCACGUGCUUCCCACUCUGCACCCGGCUUGUUAGCAGCCCCAGCAGCUCCCUUCAGAACUUCCGGCAUCUUCUCUUGGGCCGCUCUGUGGGUCCCGUCUACUUGAUCCUUACUUGGGUGUCGCAGAAGCCUCAUCACGGUCUCCCUGCUCCUUGUGAGCACCUAAGACAGAGCAAGGCCUUCCCCUGCCUAGAGUUCCCCCUCAGCUCCGUCUCAGAGAAAAGGACAAGGCUGUCCUGAUCUCUGCAUCUGUCCUCUGUGAGUUCCCCACCAUCAUGUCUGCCUUCACUGCAUAAAAUGUAUUUAUGUGAACGUUGUCUCUCCCCUUCUCCAUAUCUGCUCCAUGAAGGCUGGGUGCUGGGCAGUUUGUACGCUACUUUAGCUCCACAGCCUAAGAAAAGAGUUGGCAUGUUAUAGGUGCUCAAUAAAAGUUUUCUUGAAUGGGGCUAAGGAUGUAGCUCAGUAGUAAAACACUUGCCUGCAUUCACGAGACUGCAUUCCAUCCCCAGCACUGGAGUGGCGUGGAUCUGUGCAGUUCCCAAGGUAGCGCACUGCCCUAAACACUGCACAUUUUGCUUCUGCCUCACACAAGCUGCAGUAGGGUCAUCAUCAACCCUUUUGAUAAAUGAGAGAAGCCAGGCAGCUGUCUCUGGGCUGUGCACUGCCCGAGUGCUGGAGCUCGGCACUCAGGCCAGAACCCCACUCCAGCCUCCGAGGAAGUACUUCCCAGAUGAGAAAGAGCACAGAAAGGAGCUGGGCACGAAUGAGCAAUGGCGGGUGUGCGUGGCUCGGAGCCCAGGUGGAGAGGGGGUGGCCGCAGCGUCGCUUCCUCCUCGGGGCCACCGCAGGGGUUAUAAAGCGCUGGCAGCAGCCAGAGUGGAGCACC
Molecule: RNA transcript, 2567 nt
Organism: Fukomys damarensis (Damara mole-rat)
Lineage: Eukaryota; Metazoa; Chordata; Mammalia; Rodentia; Bathyergidae
Gene: Sars2
Gene name: seryl-tRNA synthetase 2, mitochondrial
Exons: 17
Source: RefSeq, a predicted model, not a curated record